This 279-nucleotide unclassified non-coding RNA is filed under the name plant metagenome. Its description in RNAcentral is "partial contains small subunit ribosomal RNA, internal transcribed spacer 1, and 5.8S ribosomal RNA". The stretch from base 201 to 279 matches the Rfam family "5.8S ribosomal RNA", at positions 1 to 77 of the family's 154-position model. The record is from RNAcentral.
UUUCCGUAGGUGAACCUGCGGAAGGAUCAUUCAUAAUGAGUGUUUAUGGCACUUUUAAAAAUCUAUACUCACCUUGUGUGCAUCGAUAGUCAUGUUCCUUGUUCUCUCUUGAGCGCACUAGGAGGCAGGCUACAAAUUAAUCUAUCUUUAACAAGUUUGUCUGAAGCCAUGUAUCAUGAGCUAACAUAAUUAUAGAAUACAACUUUCAACAACGGAACUCUUGGCUCUCCCAUCGAGGAAGAACGCAGCAGGACGGACGAUCACAAGCCUGAACUCCAG